CUCAGAAGCAGCCACUCAUUUAAAGAGUGCGUAAUAGCUCACUGGUCGAGCGUCUCUGCGCGGAAAAUUUAACGGGGCUAAGAUACAAACCGAAGCUUAGGCUGCACUUUUAGUGCGGGGUAGGGGAGCGUUGUGUAAGCGGAGAAACAGUAGCGUAAGCGGCUGUGGAGUUUACAGAAGUGAGAAUGCCGGAAUGAGUAGCGCGAAUGAUGUGAGAAUCAUCAUGGCCGGAAACCUCAGGUUUUUGGAGGAAGGUUCGUCCGCUCCAAGUUAGGCGGGAGCUAAGGUGAGGCCGAAAGGCGUAGCCGAUGCACAGACGGUAGAGAUUCCGUCCCCACCGAAAGAUUUAAGCACAGGGACACUUUUUGAAGGUCGGAGCCAGGUGUUGGUUCUGGUAGUGAUCGAGGGAAAUUUAGUACCGAAGUCUGGCUGGAUGAGAGGCGAGAAAAGCUGUGUGUAUAUCUAAGGUGCCCGUACCGCAAACCGACACAGGUAGGUAGGAAGAAGAUUCUAAGGCCAACGGGAGAAGGGUUGUUAAGGAACUCGGCAAGUUGACCCCGUAACUUCGGAAUAAGGGGUGCUCACGAGAGUGAGCCGCAGAGAAUAGGCCCAGGCAACUGUUUACCAAAAACACAGGUUUGUGCUAAAUCGAAAGAUGACGUAUACGAGCUGACGCCUGCCCGGUGCUGGAAGGUUAAAAGGAGAUGUGCAAGCAUUGAAUUGAAGCCCCAGUGAACGGCGGCCGUAACUAUAACGGUCCUAAGGUAGCGAAAUUCCUUGUCAGGUAAGUUCUGACCCGCAUGAAAGGCGUAAUGAUCUGGGCACUGUCUCAACAGCCCGCCCGGCGAAAUUGUAGUACCGGUGAAGAUGCCGGUUACCCGCGACAAGACGGAAAGACCCCAUGGAGCUUUACUGUAGCCUGAUAUUGGGUUUCGGUGUUGCAUGCACAGGAUAGAUGGGACGCUGGGAAAGAAGCGCUUUGGCGUUUCUGGAGCGGACGUUGGGAUACCAUCCUUGCGACAUUGGAAUUCUAACCUGCGCCUCUGAAUCGAGGCGGGGGACAUUGUCAGGUGGGCAGUUUGACUGGGGCGGUCGCCUCCUAAAAAGUAGCGGAGGCGUUCAAAGGUUCGUUCGAUCUGGACGGAAACCAGAUGAUUGAGUGCAAACGCAUAAACGAGCCUGACUGCGAGACUGACGGGUCGAGCAGAGACGAAAGUCGGAGUUAGUGAUCCGGUGGUAUGUGAGUGGAAAUGCCAUCGCUCAACGGAUAAAA
This 1273-nucleotide ribosomal RNA is filed under the name human gut metagenome. Its description in RNAcentral is "bacterial LSU rRNA". It matches the Rfam family "Bacterial large subunit ribosomal RNA", at positions 1105 to 2461 of the family's 2925-position model. The record is from RNAcentral.